Molecule: long non-coding RNA, 402 nt
Organism: Papaver somniferum (opium poppy)
Lineage: Eukaryota; Viridiplantae; Streptophyta; Magnoliopsida; Ranunculales; Papaveraceae
Exons: 2
Source: RefSeq, a predicted model, not a curated record
GAUAAGCUCAUUCUUUCUUUUCCUUCUUCUUUCUUCUUCUUCUUCUUCUUCUUCUUCCAUGUUCUUCUCUUCACCUCUCUGUUAAACUUAGUUUCGAAUACUUGAGUGAGAUUUCUGUCUGAGCGAUUCAUCUUAAGUUAGUAUCAUGUUAUAUUGUGGGAGAAGGUGAUGAUGUUGCUGUCGAUUUGGGUUUUGGAAGAAGCAGAAAACGCUUUCAGUAACCAGAAGAAAAGGUGCGCUCGAAGAUAACUGUUUCGUAGCUUAAAGCUUUUAUCGUAUUAGAGAUGUUGCAUAGAUUUUGUAUAUGUAUAGUUUUAUUAAUCUGUAAAACAACACAUUAUUAUAUUCAUAUCACUCGAGAGAUCUUCAUUUAUAAAAUAUCAGAGUGUAUGGGUUUGCCUU